RNAcentral lists this long non-coding RNA (252 nucleotides) under Ananas comosus (pineapple). RNAcentral describes it as "long non-coding RNA (ACOM_LNC037359)". The record is from RNAcentral. Lineage: Eukaryota; Viridiplantae; Streptophyta; Magnoliopsida; Poales; Bromeliaceae.
UUCGACAAGCGGGACGGAUGUGUUCACAAUCCCUAGUGAGAUUGGGUUAGAGAUUGCUUUUCUACAGAUAGUUAGUGUUGAAUUGUGAUAGUAUAGUGACAUAUAGUUGUAGAUUUGUUCCAGCUUCCUUUACUAUCUUUAAGCAUAUAUCUAUAGACUUAAUAGGUGAAUCGUUGAGGUCGGUAGCGGUACCCAUUGAGGACUACUUUUUGCAGUAGUUCUCAUGCCAGUUGUUGGAAACCUUUUGCAGAG